This 251-nucleotide ribosomal RNA is filed under the name uncultured bacterium. RNAcentral describes it as "partial 16S ribosomal RNA". It matches the Rfam family "Bacterial small subunit ribosomal RNA", at positions 103 to 354 of the family's 1533-position model. The record is from RNAcentral.
CGGGUGAGUAACGCGUGGGGAACCUGCCUCAUACAGGGGAAUAACAGAUGGAAACGUCUGCUAAUGCCGCAUAAGCGCACACUGUGGCAUCACAGAGUGUGAAAAACUCCGGUGGUAUGAGAUGGCCCCGCGUCUGAUUAGGCAGUUGGCGGGGUAACGGCCCACCAAACCGACGAUCAGUAGCCGACCUGAGAGGGUGACCGGCCACAUUGGGACUGAGACACGGCCCAAACUCCUACGGAAGGCAGCAG